Small nucleolar RNA from Lolium rigidum, 81 nucleotides. RefSeq annotates it as small nucleolar RNA R160. NCBI's taxonomy places the organism in Eukaryota, Viridiplantae, Streptophyta, Magnoliopsida, Poales, Poaceae. The record is from RefSeq and is a predicted model, not a curated record. The transcript has a single exon.
GGCAAAAUGAGGAAGUCUUACCAUCUGAAAGUCUACUAUUGUGGAUAAUGCAUAUAUGGUCUUCAAAGUUCUCUGAUUGCU